This 99-nucleotide non-coding RNA is filed under the name marine eukaryotic metagenome. The record is from RNAcentral.
GUUGGCAGCGUUCUUGUGUCAAUGUUAAACAAAUCAAACCUCUACCAUAAGUAGCCAUAAAGUUAAUAUCUUCUUUGGUAAUUUUUUCAGCAGCUAUCA